RNAcentral lists this long non-coding RNA (7362 nucleotides) under Homo sapiens (human). RNAcentral describes it as "HSALNT0248461". Lineage: Eukaryota; Metazoa; Chordata; Mammalia; Primates; Hominidae. The record is from RNAcentral.
GUGAGGAAAAGAUGUUGGGAAAAAAAAAACUGGGGGUAGAUGGAGGGGGAAAAACAGGGUGGUGAACAGGAGGGACGGAAGGUUUCACAGAAAGACGGUAGUGAAAAAGUUUUUGGGUAGAUGGAAGGGGGUAAGAGAGGGUCGUGAGUGGGGAACGGGGAUGAGCAGGAAGGAGAGAAGGUUUGCAAAAAUACGGUGGGGAGAGAAGAAAGGGAAAGAAGACUGUAGGUAAAAAGAUUUUGAGUAGAUGGAGGGGGGAAAAGGGUGACAAGUGGAAGGAGAAAAGAGGGUGCAGAGAGGGAGGGGGAAGAGAGAGUGGCAAGCAGGAGGGAGAGAAGGUUUUGUGAAAAGACAGUGAGGAGAGAAGCUUUUAGGUAGAUGGAGAGGGAAAAGAGGGUGGCCAGUGGGAGAAGGAUAAAGAGGGUGGCGAGGAGGAAAGUGAAAAGGUUUUGCGAAAAGACGAUAGGCAGAAAAGAAAGUGUAGAAAGAAAAGACAGUGGGUAAAAAGUGUUUGGGUAGAUGGAGGGGGAGAAGAGGGUGGCAAGUGGGAGGAGAAUAGAAAGUGUGGCCAGAGGGAGUGGGGAAAGAGGACUGGGAAAAAGGCGAUGGGGAAAAUAGUUCGGGGUAGAUGGAAGGCAAAAAGAGGGUGGCAAGCAGGACAGAGGAAAGAAGAGGGUGAGCGGGAAGCGGGGAAGGCUUUGUGAGAAGGUGGCAGGGAAAAAUUGGGGAGGUAGAUGGGUUAAAAGAGCGUGGUGAGCAGGAGGAGAGAAGAGGCUUUGCAAAAAGACGGCGGGAAAAUGUUUUUGGUAGAUGGAGAAGGGAAAGGGUGGCAAGGAGGAUGGGAGAAAAAGAUGAUAGGGAAACAGUUUUUGGGUAGAUGGAAGGGGAAAGAGAGGGUGGCGAGCAGCAGGAGUGGGGAGAAGGCUUUGGGAAAAGAUGAGGGAAAUGUUUUUGGGAGUUGAAGGAGCAAAAGAGGAUGAUGAGAGCAGGAGGUGGAAAAAAGGCUGGCCAGGGAGAGGGAGAAAAGACGUUGGGGAAAAGUUUUGGGGUAGAUGGGUGGGGAAAAUGGAAGUGAGCGGUAAAGUAUAGAAGGCUUUGCAAAAAGACAGUGGGGAAAAAAUGGUGGGGAAAAAGUUUUGGGGUAGAUGGAGGAAGAAAAAGGGUGGUGAGAGAGGGAGCCAAAGACGGUCAGGAAAAAAAUUCCUCCUGUUACUGAUUUUUUAAUACUCUUCCACUCUGCUCAGAAAAAAUAAUUGAUAUGAUUUCAGGGUUUUUUUUGUUUUGGUUUGGUUUGGUUUGGUUUGGUUUUUUGAGACGGAGUCCUGCUCUGUUGCCCAGGCUGGAGUGCAGUGGUGUGAUCUUGGCAAACUGCCACCUCCACCUCCCCGGUUCAAGCCAUUCUUUUGACUCAGCCUCCUGAGUAGCUGGGAUUACAGGCAUGCACCACGACGCCCAGCUAAUUUUGCAUUUUUAGUUCUAAAUGGGGUUUCUCCAUGUUGGUCAGGCUGGUCCCGACCUCUGUUGAUUGGCCCACCUCUGCCUUCCAAAGUGCUGGGAUUACAGGUUUGAGCCACCGCACCUGGCAAGGAUGUUGAAUUUUAUUGAAUAUUUUUUUCUGCAUCUAUUGAGAUAAUCAUAUGAUUUUUGUUUUAAAUUCUGUUUAUAUGGUAAAUCACAUUUAUUGAUUUGCAUAUGUUAAAUAGUCCUUGCAUCCCAGGAAUAAAACCCAUGUAAUCAUGAUGAAUUACAUCUUUGAUAUGCUGAUGGAUUUGGUUUGCUAGCAUUUUGUUGAGGAUAUUUGCAUCUAUGUUCAUCAGAUAUUGGCCUGUAGUUUGUUGUUGUUGUUUCCUUGCUAGAUUUUAGUGUCAGGAUGAUACUGGUUUUGUAGAAUGAGUUAGAGAGGAAUUCCUUCUCCUCAAUGUUUUAGAAUGGUUGCAGUAAGAUUGAUACCAUCUAUUUUUUUGUAUGCUUGGUAAAAUUCAGCUGUGAAUUCAUCUAGUCCUGGGCUUCUCCUGCCUGAUAAAUAUUUUUAUUACAAAUUCAAUUUCAUAAUUAACUACUGGUUUAUUCAGAUUUUUUUUAAAUUUAUAGAGAAAAAAUAUUUAUUUGGUUUAUAGUUGUGCAGGCAGUAGAAGCAUGGGACCAGCACCUGCUCAGGUUUGGGUGAGACCUCAGAAAGCAUCCAAUCACAGAGGAAGGCAAAGUGAGGGCCAGUGUAUCACGUGUCAAGAGAGAAAUGAAUAGCAAGAAGGGGAACACGGCAGGCUGUUUUAAACAACCAGCUCUCAUGUGACACAACAGAGCAAGGACUUGCUCAUCACCAAGGGGAUGGAGCUAAGCAAAUUAUGAAGAGUCCACCCCCAUGAUUCAACACCUUCCACUAGGCCCACCACCAACGUUUAAGAUCACAUUCAACAAGAGAUUUGGAGGGUAAACACAUCCAAACAAUGUCAUUUCACACCUAUGCCCACCAAAUCUCAUGUCCUUCUCAUAUUGCACAAUACAAUUAUCAUCUCUCAGUAGUCCCCAAAAAUCUCAAGCUGUUUCAGCAUCAACUCAAAAGUCCGAAAUCUCAUCUGAACUUCAAGGUAAUUUGGCCCUUUGUUUGAGCCCAUCAUCUGGGAGGUGAGUAACGCCUCUGCCCGGCCACCUUGUCUGGGAAGUGGGGAGCCCCUCUGCCCAGCCACCCCAUCUGGGAGGUGAGGAGUGCCUCUGCCUGGCCACCCAAUGUCUGGGAGGUGAGGAGUGCCUCUUCCCGGCUGCCCCAUCUGGGAGGUGAGGAGCGCCUCUGCCCGGCCACCCCCUCUGGGAAGUGAGGAGCGCCUCUGCCCGGCAGCCCUGUCUGGGAAGUGAGGAGCGCCACUGCCUGGCUGCCCCGUCUGGGUUGUGAGGAGCACCUCUGCCUGACCGCCACCCCAUCUGGGAAGUGGGGAGCGCCUUUGCCCAGCUGCCCCGUCUGGGAAGUGAGGAGCACCUUUCUCCUGCUGCCCAUCAUCUGGGAGGUGAGGAGCGCCUCUGCAUGGAUGACACACCAUCUGGGAAGUGAGGAGCGCCUCUGCCCAGCCGCCCCAUCUGGGAAGUGAGGAGUGCUUCUGCCUGGCCGCCCAUUGUCUGGGAGGUGAGGAGCGCCUCUGCCCGGCCACCCUGUCUGGGUUGUGAGGAGCGCCUCUGCCCAGCUCCCACCCUGUCUGGGAAGUGGGGAGCGCCUCUUCCCGGUCGCCCCAUCUGGGAGGUGAGGAGUGCCUCCCUCCAGCUGCCCAUCAUCUGGUAGGUGAGGAGUGCCUCUGAAUGGACGACACACAAUCUGGGAACUGAGGAGCGCCUCUGCCUGGCCGCGCCAUCUGGGAAGUGAAGAGCGCCUCUGCCCGGCCGCCCCAUCUGGGAAGUGAGGAGCGCCUCUGCCUGGCUGCCCAUCAUCUGGGAGGUGAGGAGCACCUCUCCCCAGCCACCCAUUGUCUGGGAGGUGAGGAGUUCCUCUGGCUGGCCGCCCGGUCUGGCAGUUGAGCGCCUCUGCCCGGCCACCCCCUCUGGGAAGUGAAGAGCGCCUCUGCCCAGCCUCCCCAUCUGGGAGGUGAGGAGCGCCUCUGCCCGGCUGCCCCAUCUGGGAGGUGAGGAGCGCCUCUGCCUGACCUCCACCCCAUCUGGGAAUGGGGAGUGGCAUUUCUCGGCCGCCCCAUCUGGGAAGUGAGGAGCACCUUUCUCUGGCUGCCAAUCAUCUGGGAGGUGAGAAGCGCCUCUUCACGGAUGACACACCAUCUGGGAAGUGAGGAGCGCCUCUGCCUGGCUGCCCCAUCUGGGAAGUGAGGAGCACCUCUUCCUGGUCUCCCCGUCUGGGAGGUGAGGAGCGCCGCUGCCCGGCCACCCCAUCUAGGAGGUGAGGAGCGCCUCUGCCCAGCCACCCCAUGUGGGAGGCGAGGAGCGCCUCUGCCUGGCCGCCCAGUCUGGGAGGUGAGGAGCGCCUUUGCCCAGCUGCCCAUCAUCUGGGAGGUGAGGAGCGCCUCUGCCAGCCCGCCCCAUCUGGGAGGUGAGGAGCGCCUCUUCCUGGUCUCCCCGUCUGGGAGGUGAGGAGCGCCUCUGCCCGGCCACCCCAUCUAGGAGGUGAGGAGCGCCUCUGCCCGGCCACCCCAUGUGGGAGGCGAGGAGCACCUCUGCCUGGCCGCCCAGUCUGGGAGGUGAGGAGCGCCUUUGCCCAGCUGCCCAUCAUCUGGGAGGUGAGGAGUUCCUCUGCCAGGCCGCCUCAUCUGGGAGGUGAGGAGCGCCUCUGCCCAGCCGCCCCGUCUGGGAAGUGGGGAGCACCUCUGCCUGGCCGUGAUGUCUGGGAGGUGAGGAGUGCCUCUGCCUGGCCACCCCGUCUGGGAAAUGAGGAGCACCUCUGCCUGGCUGCCCAUUGUCUGGGAGGUGAGGAGCCCCUCUGCCUGGCUGCCCCCCCUGGGAGGUGAGGAGUGCCUCUUCCCAGCCGCCCCAUCUGGGAAAUGAGGAGCACCUCUUGCCUGGUUGCCCCAUCUGGGAAGUGAGGAGCGCCUCUGCCCAGCCGCCCCAUCUGGGAAGUAAGGAGCACCUCUGCCUGGCCGUUGUGCAAUCUUCCAAGUGUGAAGUGACAGCCUUUCUGCAGGUGUACCCAACAGCUUCGAAGAGACAGCCACCAUCGGGAACGGACCAUGAUGAUGAUGGCAGUUUUGUCAAAAAGAAAAGAGGGAAAUGUGGGGAAAAGGAAGAGAGAUCAGAUUGUUACUGUGUCUGUGUAGAAAGAAGUAGACAUAGGAGACUCCAUUUUCUUCUGUACUAAGAGAAAUUCUUCUGCCUUGGGAUGCUGUUAAUCUAUAACCUUACCCCCAACCCCGUGCUCUCUGAAACAUGUGCUGUGUCAACUCAGGGUUAAAUGGAUUAAGGGCGGUGCAAGAUGGGCUUUGUUAAACAGAUGCUUGAAGGCAGCAUGCUCAUUAAGAGUCAUCACCACUCCCUAAUCUCAAGUACCCAGGGACACAAACACUAUGGAAGGCUGCAGGGACCUCUGCCUAGGAAAACCAGAGACCUUUGUUCACGUGUUUAUCUGCUGACCUUCUCUCCACUAUUAUCCUAUGACCCUGCCACAUCCCCCUCUCCAAGAAACACCCAAGAAUGAUCAAUAAAUAAUAAUAAAAAAAGCAUAGUGCAUCACCCCAAGGGUAGAGCGUGUGUGUGUGUGUGUGUGUGUGUGUGUGUGUGUGUGUGUGUGUGUGUUCGUGGAUAGUUUCUCCUAGCUAACCAUAAGACAGGAACUUGGAGUCUUGGGACAGGAAGAGAGAAAAGAGGGGAGAAAGUAUCCUGAACCAAGUAUAGAGUUGUCAAUCUCUUAACUAGAAGGUUCAAUAGUUGGGAUUUAUUUCCACAAAACAAGGAAAUUUGUGUUUUUAUAAUUAUAAAAAAGUGUUCCUGUCUGUCUAGGCUUGUACCUAAAUGGGAGACUAUAAACUCUAUUGUCCAGUAUUUUACUGAAAACUAUGUAUGACACUCUGCAGUCCAUUGUGACAUUCCUACAGCCAAGAAAAAUAACUGAAAACACUGAACGUGUCAGGGAUUCAUGAUAAGGAUUCAUUUCUGGAGCAAAGACUGGUCUUGUGAAGAAAGGACCUGUCCCCUUCUCAUGCAUGGGAUUCUACCCCCAUCCCACACACCAGAAGCACUGCCAGGACAUCUCUGCACUAUGCUGUGAGGUGGGUGGUUUAGGGUACCAUUGUUAUAUGACUUUUAUCAUUUUAGUUCUGUACAUCCUAUCUUGGGAAGUAAAUUUUUGGUUAUUUCUUUUCAUUUUACCUUUUCUUCUUGUUUAACUUUAAAAUGGAAAAAGAAGCAAAUGUUCACAAUAAACUUUACUGUUUAAUCUGAAAAAAAAAAGAAAAACAUUGCAGAAUGAUAGCCACAGUUUUAAAAAUAAGCACAUUAUAAAGAUAAUAAAAUUGUAAUAAAACUAAUUAUAAUGAACAUAUAAAAGAAGUCUUCCUGUGGAUAUUAGUAUCAUAAAACAAUUUAUAUUAUUUAACCAGUUAUAGACUCACUGUUGGCAUGUUACAUUUAACACACACUUGACUUUUGAUUUGAAAUCAUUUCCUCAUUAAAUCCUGUAUCUCACCUUUGAGAUUAAUGUGAUAAUGUGAUGUAGCCUCUAUUGAUGCCUCAGAGAGUGAGAAUGUGAUGUAACCUUUAGUGAAGCCUCACACUGUUUAUUAAGAUCCGCCAAUUUUUUUUGAAGUUGUCUCACAAUGACCUGAAAAGACAUGUUUUUGAUUUUGUGAAUCAUCUUAUCAAAUUAACAAUAUUUACUUUCAAAAAGAUCCCCAAAUAUAUUGAUUCAGUUUAUUUUCUUCAUUUGUGCACACUGCUGCUUGUUAGUGAAUUUACUUAAGGACACAAGAAGGUGUAAUCUUUCUGCCAAAUUGGUACUGUCUUACUAGACACAAGAUUCAUCUCACUGGUAAUUUCUUCCCUUAAUGAAUCUGUAAUUCUUCACAACUUACUGAAGUCUCAAAAAAAAAAAAAAGGCAGGACUAGUGGUGGUAAAUUCUAAACAGUGGAAUUCUUUCCUUCUUCUGUAUUAGAAGCACAAAUCAACAUCAAAGUUCCUCACAUAUUCAAUCACCUGCUGAAAUUUUUCCAAUAGAUUUUUAUCUCAGAAUAAAAGUAAUUUUAUUUCAAACUUUACAGGCCCUUGGUAACCUGGUCUCCACAUCCCUCCUGACCUCAGCUCCUAUGUUUCUCUCCUCUACUCACUUCUUUUGUACUAUACAUGAACCUUGCCACCCCUUAUGAAUUGAAAAAUGGGGAUCCAAUGCAAAGCUAAUAAAUCACAGAUAGCUACAAUCAUCUUUCUGUGGGACAAAGUUCUAUCCACAUGAUAGUUUUUGAGCCUUGAAAUAGAAAUUAUGAGCAAAUGAUUUGUAACAAUAUUCAAAAUAAAUUAUGAAUACCAGUGGGGUGAUUAAAUCAAAUUUGAUAUUGCUAAAAUCCACUACAUUUGUCCUAAGGUAUUAUUUAACAAAACACAGAUGCCUUUAAAAAAUUGAGAGGUUUUAACAAUACAUAAUUUCAGAUUCAAAUAUGUUCAGAUUAAGUCAAAUUGACAUAAAUGAAAAUAAAAUUCUACCAAAUAAAAUAUAUAAAAAGCUACUUAAAAAGUGUUAUUACAAGAUGCAGAAAUGUACACUUCAAAAUAUACUUCAAAUACACUUCUGUUCCUCUGGAAAAUUUAGAAUUAACUGUCAAUGUAAAUUGCUGAACUGAAUCUUAAUUUCAAAAUACUAAUUGCUGAUAUGGGCAUUCCCAUUUUUCUGCUUCAUUGUAGUCAAAAAAUGUGGCCACAAAGAGACAUUAAAACCUUUAUUUCAG